GCUGGCGACCAUAGCAAGAGUGAACCACCUGAUCCCUUCCCGAACUCAGAAGUGAAACCUCUUAGCGCUGAUGGUAGUGUGGGAUUACCCAU
This 92-nucleotide ribosomal RNA is filed under the name Acinetobacter baumannii. Lineage: Bacteria; Pseudomonadati; Pseudomonadota; Gammaproteobacteria; Moraxellales; Moraxellaceae. The record is from RNAcentral.